UACGGAGGGUGCAAGCGUUAUCCGGAUUUAUUGGGCUUAAAGGGUGCGCAGGCGGGCCUUUAAGUCAGUGGUGAAAUCCCUUCGCUUAACGAAGGAACUGCCAUUGAUACUGAAGUUCUUGAAUCUAGUUGACGUUAGUGGAAUGUGUCAUGUAGCGGUGAAAUGCUUAGAUAUGACACAGAACACCGAUCGCGAAGGCAGCUAACGAAGCUAGUAUUGACGCUCAGGCACGACAGCAUGGGGAGCAAACAGG
RNAcentral lists this ribosomal RNA (253 nucleotides) under uncultured bacterium. Its description in RNAcentral is "partial 16S ribosomal RNA". It matches the Rfam family "Bacterial small subunit ribosomal RNA", at positions 524 to 776 of the family's 1533-position model. The record is from RNAcentral.